UACGUAGGGCGCAAGCGUUGUCCGGAAUUAUUGGGCGUAAAGAGCUCGUAGGCGGUUUGUCGCGUCUGCUGUGAAAUCCUCAGGCUCAACUUGGGGCGUGCAGUGGGUACGGGCAGACUAGAGUGCGGUAGGGGAGACUGGAAUUCCAGGUGUAGCGGUGAAACGCGUAGAUAUCUGGAGGAAUACCGGUGGCGAAGGCGGCAUCCUGGACCGGAAUUGACACUGAGGAGCGAAAGCCAGGGGAGCAAACGGG
Molecule: ribosomal RNA, 253 nt
Filed under: uncultured prokaryote
Description: partial 16S ribosomal RNA
Rfam family: Bacterial small subunit ribosomal RNA
Source: RNAcentral